RNAcentral lists this ribosomal RNA (468 nucleotides) under uncultured bacterium. RNAcentral describes it as "partial 16S ribosomal RNA". It matches the Rfam family "Bacterial small subunit ribosomal RNA", at positions 28 to 507 of the family's 1533-position model. The record is from RNAcentral.
GACGAACGCUGGCGGCGUGCUUAACACAUGCAAGUCGAACGGAAAGGCCCUGCUUUUGUGGGGUGCUCGAGUGGCGAACGGGUGAGUAACACGUGAGUAACCUGCCCUUGACUUUGGGAUAACUCCAGGAAACUGGGGCUAAUAUCGCAUAGGAGCUCUUGCUGCAUGGUGGGGGUUGUAAAGUUUCGGCGGUUUGGGACGGACAUGAGGUUUAUCAGCUUGUUGGCGGGGUAGUGGCGUACCAAGGCUUGGACGGGUAGCCGGCCUGAGAGGGUGACCGGCCCCAUAGGCAGUGGGGUAGGGCCCAAACGCCUUCGGGAGGAAGCAGUGAGAGAUAUUGCACAAAAGGCGGAAGCAGGAAGCAGCAACGCCGCGUCCGAAAAGACGGCCUUCGGGUUAUAACCCGCGUUCGCCUGUAAAGAAGCGUAAGUGACGGUAAUGGGUAAGAAAGCACCGGCUAACUACGUG